GACGAACGCUGGCGGCGUGCUUAACACAUGCAAGUCGAACGGAAAGGCCCUGCUUUUGUGGGUUUCUCGAUUGGCGAACGGGUGAGUAACACGUGAGUAACCUGCCCUUGACUUUGGGAUAACUUCAGGAAACUGGGGCUAAUACCGGAUAGGAUCUCCUGCUGCAUGGUGGGGGUUGGAAAGUUUCGGCGGUUGGGGAUGGACUCGCGGCUUAUCAGCUUGUUGGUGGGGUAGUGGCUUACCAAGGCUUUGACGGGUAGCCGGCCUGAGAGGGUGACCGGCCACAUUGGGACUGAGAUACGGCGCAGAAUCCUACGGGAGGCAGCAGUGGGGAAUAUUGCAGAAUGGGCGGAAGCCUGAUGCAGAAAUGCCGCGUGCGGGAUGCCGGCCUUCGGGUUGUAAACAGCUUUCGCCUGUGCCGAAGCGUGAGUGACGGUAAUGGGUAAAGAAGCACCGGCUAACUACGUG
RNAcentral lists this ribosomal RNA (468 nucleotides) under uncultured bacterium. Its description in RNAcentral is "partial 16S ribosomal RNA". It matches the Rfam family "Bacterial small subunit ribosomal RNA", at positions 28 to 507 of the family's 1533-position model. The record is from RNAcentral.